GUCUAAGUACGUCUUAAAACGGUGAAACCGCGAAUGACUCAUUAAAUCAGCUAUGGUUCCUUAGAUCAUAUAUGCUACAUGGAAAACUGUAGUAAUUCUAUAGCUAAUACAUGCAAAUAUGCCCUGACCCGCAAGGGAACGGGUGCAUUUAUUAGAACAGAACCAACCGGGGGCAGUUUCGUCUAUCUCUGUUGAAUUCUGUGAUGACUCUGGAUAACUUUAAUGAUCACAGUCAACCUUGUAUCGGCGACGGAUCAGUGGUAUAAAGUUCUAUGCAUUUACACUUGCUGUCUUGAU
RNAcentral lists this non-coding RNA (297 nucleotides) under Trichobilharzia regenti. RNAcentral describes it as "Eukaryotic small subunit ribosomal RNA". It matches the Rfam family "Eukaryotic small subunit ribosomal RNA", at positions 57 to 334 of the family's 1831-position model. The record is from Rfam by way of RNAcentral. Lineage: Eukaryota; Metazoa; Platyhelminthes; Trematoda; Strigeidida; Schistosomatidae.